CAUGGCUUUUUGACUGAGUUAUCUAUAUAGUAUAGUAUAUCUAUCCUAUCGACUGCUAUUUUCAUUUAAAAAAAGACUGUAUACUAGCCUAGCGCUUAACUUCUUACUGAUCUCUUACUACUGAUGACUACUCUUAGCAUAGUGAUGCACUCAUUUGUAAGUCGCUCUGGGUAAGAGCAUAUGCUAAAUGAUGUAAUGUAAUGUAUACGAUACUGGAAGCCGGCUUUAAGACAGUUAUAGUGCCUAUCUAUGAUAUUGUAUUGGGAGGUGUUUUAAUAGGACAAUCCCUUUCUUAAAGUAAUUUAAACCUUAACCAAUUAAGUAACUGCAACUUGUGUGCAUAACAUUCACAUAUUGUAGCUGAUGACAGGGGGUAUAUAGAAAGACUGGGGGUAAAAUUAUCAGACAUUCUGCGCGGCGUAUCUGCGGGACUGUAAGUCAUACUCAUAUAUUUAAGUAUUAUAAACUUAUUGUGAAAAUCACAUUUUAUUAAUAUAUAAUGUUUGAAUGUUUGUCGGGAUUUCCUCUUCAAACGAGCUAAAAGUGCCGUCAUGCAUGUUGAAAGCAAGAGGAAGAUGAAUUCCUUCGGCCACCAGAGACCGUGUGUGAUACAGUACACAGCGCGGAAGUCCAGAUGAGCCGUUUAUCAGAGAACCAUGCGGGCGGCUGACACAGGAAUUUGGACACACAGAACAUGCGGCGGGGCAGAAGGACGGGAGAUGGGAGGGGAGCGAAACCUUUGAAAAAAACACCGUGCGUCUCCCGCAGGCAGCCAGGCACAAUGCUGGCCAGGGUACAUCACUUCCUGUGCCUCCAAAGUACAGCUGCCUUUUAACUUCGCUGCUCGUAUGCGCACGGUCGGGAGAAACAAGAAACAUCGGAAUCAAGGUCCAAAAAGAAGGAGAUCAACAAAGGGCCGGGAUCCUGUAGGUGGUCCGAUCCAGACGGACCAGGAGAGAACGCAACCAGGCCCCUUUCUUACCAACCCCUUCUGAGGGCAGAGCGACCCCGCCCACCAGGGGGAGGAGACUAGAGGAGACAGCAGCUGUAUAACACUCUCACCCCUCCUCUCUCUGUGCACUGCACACUAAACCCUCACACACUCACGCACUCACUCAC
Molecule: long non-coding RNA, 1119 nt
Organism: Megalops cyprinoides (Indo-Pacific tarpon)
Lineage: Eukaryota; Metazoa; Chordata; Actinopteri; Elopiformes; Megalopidae
Exons: 3
Source: RefSeq, a predicted model, not a curated record